AAGGCUAGAAAGUUAGGGUGGAAGAAGCCCGCACGAGGUCUUAAGUACCAGGCUAAGUCUGAAGUUUGUUCCGUAGAAAUGAUGGCUGGGAACCAGGGAACCAGAUAAAGAAUAAGGUUGUAGUAAUGUGUACAGUGGAUAGAAAAGGAGAGGCUAGGUGGUCAGGGACACCGGUGGGCAAGGCCAGAGCCACAGCACCAUUGGUGAUAAAAGCCUGGAACCACCCACGGUGCCGGCAGGAGGAAUGGAGUGGAGAGAACAGUCUAAAGGUAAAAAUCAACAGGUGUUCAUUCGUCGGACGUUCGUGAGUGCUGAUCACCUGUCCAGCAUCAAAGGAGCUUCUGGGAGCACAAAAAUGAGGAAGAUAUAUAUUUUUUACCUAAAGGGAUGAAGUAGGGGAAAAGCAGCGAAGAGUUAAGGAUGACCUCAAGUCUCAGUCCUGGGGAAAGAGCAAGAGGAAGGACCACCAGCAGCAAACAGGCUAGAGGAAGAGGAGAGCGAACGUGCUCCAUGUCUGGGGGGGUGACGGAGGCAGAAGGAAAUGUGUCCGACAGCAGAAGCCGUGAGGGUAAGCAGAGGGAGAAGGCGGGCAGGGCGCGGCAGAACAUGGGAAGACAGGUUCCGUCACGAGGUCUCAUCACAGCGUUACGACAAGUCCUUGGGCGGGUUGGGAGGGUUAAAUGCAGAAGGUGGGAGAAGAACGAGGGAACACCAGGGCACGAAGCUGAAGAGAAUCUUGAGAGGGAGCAAACGCCAACACCGUGAGGUUGUGCGCUGGGAGAUCUGGCCUCUGAUCCCCUCUGCGCCUCACUCCCUCCGGCGGCAGGAAGGGUUAAGGCGAGUGAGCGCCACCACGAAGGCACGGGCCCGUCCUAAGAAGGCUGCUGAUCCCAGGACGUGAGACGCGUCAGAGCUAGAGAAGGUCCUUCUCUUUUGGAAUCACUUUUGGUGGUUUUUCUGUUUCCUCUAAAAAAGGAGGAAGUCAACAUGAUUAUCGGCUGGAGGAGGACAAAGCGGCUGAGAAAAUACUAAAGUAAAGAGAGACAGGGUCAGUAAUGACCCACAAGGAGGGUCAGCACUGGGACUGUAAAUGACAGGCGCACCUCGGGAAGCAGAGGGACAGUGGCUUCUGGGGGCCGGGACGAAGACAGAGGACCUCGCGGCGCUUUCACAGGAGGAACGGCGCUCACUGUGGCCUCCCCUCCCUGUGGAGGAGGAAGUGGAGCCAGGUCUAGAGUUCACACAGCGGGGAAGAGGUGAGAACAGACACCACUGAGACGAGCACACAGGAACGGUCAGAAAUGCUUCUCAAUUCCGAGAGCUUCAUAAGGACACAGGCAGGUUCCACAAGAGCAGAGACCCCACCCGGUCUUACUCAGCAGCACAGUGCCCGGCUUACAACAUCCUCUGUAACACUUGCUGUGGUUUCCAGAGAGGCUACACGCACAGAAACACAGAGCAAGGAACAAGCACGCAAGGUGGCAGGGGUCUACGGUGGGCUGAGUGGUGGCCCCUCAAAACUGCAUCCACACCCAGAUACCGAGCACCUGCGACGACAACCAAGUGUGGAGAGAGUCUGUGCGGAUGGGAUUAAGCCAAGGAUCUUGAGAUAAGAUCAUUCUGGAUGACCUGGGCCGGCCCUAAACCCCAUGACAGUGUCCUUACCAGAGAGAGAAGACCCACAGAGGGAGAAGCCACCUGGAGACGAGGGAGAGGCUGCGGGGAUGCAGCCACAAGCCCGGGACACCUGGCGCCUCCAGGAGCCAGGAGAGGCAGACGGAACCUCCCAAGAGCCUCUGGAGGGAGCGCAGCCCCCCGGCCACCUCGCCCUCAGACUGCCCCCUCCAGAACCUGAGAGAAUAAACUUCUGUCAUUUUUAAGGCC
Equus caballus (horse) is the source of this 1884-nucleotide long non-coding RNA. RefSeq lists it as uncharacterized. NCBI's taxonomy places the organism in Eukaryota, Metazoa, Chordata, Mammalia, Perissodactyla, Equidae. The record is from RefSeq and is a predicted model, not a curated record.